GAUGAACGCUGGCGGCGUGCCUAAUACAUGCAAGUCGAGCGGACAGACGAGGAGCUUGCUCCUCUGACGUUAGCGGCGGACGGGUGAGUAACACGUGGAUAACCUACCUAUAAGACUGGGAUAACUUCGUGAAACCGGAGCUAAUACCGGAUAAUAUAUUGAACCGCAUGGUUCAAUAGUGAAAGACGGUUUUGCUGUCACUUAUAGAUGGAUCCGCGCCGCAUUAGCUAGUUGGUAAGGUAACGGCUUACCAAGGCAACGAUGCGUAGCCGACCUGAGAGGGUGAUCGGCCACACUGGAACUGAGACACGGUCCAGACUCCUACGGGAGGCAGCAGUAGGGAAUCUUCCGCAAUGGGCGAAAGCUUGACGGAGCAACGCCGCGUGAGUGAUGAAGGUCUUCGGAUCGUAAAACUCUGUUAUUAGGGAAGAACAAAUGUGUAAGUAACUAUGCACGUCUUGACGGUACCUAAUCAGAAAGCCACGGCUAACUACGUG
RNAcentral lists this ribosomal RNA (497 nucleotides) under uncultured bacterium. Its description in RNAcentral is "partial 16S ribosomal RNA". It matches the Rfam family "Bacterial small subunit ribosomal RNA", at positions 28 to 507 of the family's 1533-position model. The record is from RNAcentral.